Molecule: non-coding RNA, 337 nt
Filed under: Calyptella sp.
Lineage: Eukaryota; Fungi; Basidiomycota; Agaricomycetes; Agaricales; Porotheleaceae
Also listed under: 1 other name
Source: RNAcentral
AACGCAUAUUGCGCUCGAGACUUCGGUCGAGAGCAUGCCUGUCUCAGCGUCGGCUCACCCCCUCGCCCCCUUCUCCUUCACUGGAGCAGGUUUAAAAGGCGGAUGUGGCCGUCUCAGUUUUCUGGCAACAGCAAAACUGGGUCGGCUGAAGCACAGGGCUUGCGGCCGGACCCUCAAUCACUUGGGGCGCCAGCAUGGUAGGUGGCUCUUCGCAGCUGCAUGCCGCUGUCGCUUUCCAGACCGAGACCGACCGCGCGGCCAAGCAGGAAAAGCUCUUUCUUCACUGAAAGAUCAAUUCUUCGACCUGAGAUCAGACAAGACUACCCGCUGAACUUAA